RNAcentral lists this long non-coding RNA (4963 nucleotides) under Citrus sinensis (sweet orange). Its description in RNAcentral is "long non-coding RNA (CSIN_LNC003439)". The record is from RNAcentral. Lineage: Eukaryota; Viridiplantae; Streptophyta; Magnoliopsida; Sapindales; Rutaceae.
UGGGUUUGCGGGUACAAUUGCCAUCCCUAAGCCCGCAGAGCAAUAUAUACAUAUAUAGAUUGUUCGCUUAGAAACAGCAACCUCACUCAACAGAAAGUUGAGAGGAUAAUAGAAGAGAAAUGGCGGGGGCAGUGAAGAGAAUCAAGCUGGGUUCACAAGGUCUAAGAGGUUUCAGCGCAAGGCUUAGGAUUCAUGGGCAUGUCCGCCUUCUACGGGCCCCGAAGCCCGAAUCCGAUAUGAUAGCCUUGAUCCACCAUGCCAUUGACAGUGGCAUCACUUUACUUGACACUUCCGAUUCUUACGGACCUCACACAAAUGAAAUCCUUCUGGGCAAAAGUAUUUAUAAGUUCUCUAUAAUUUUAGUUAUUACAUGUAAGCACUUGAUUUAACCAGUUUUUAAUUAGUUUCAUUUGACUGACUAUUGGAGUUCGAAUCCUACAAAGAUUAUAAGAAAAAAAUUGAUUUGGAUUUUACCCAUCCUUUAAAAAACACAUAAAAAAUUUGUAAGCAUGUGACUAUCAUUAUUGACAAUAUAGUUACGACAAGAAGUCUGCAAGAAUUUCAUUACAGAUUAGAUUAAUUUUCAAGUAUUUAGAAAAAAAAAUCACUAUAAUAUCUCACUCAAAUACUUAAAAGAUUAUUCAUCGAGUGAUUUUCAUACUUAUGUCCUAUUUGGGAUUGAGAUUGAACGGCUAUAGUGUAAAAAGAAUAGCACUAAAGUAUUUGGUAAAAAGAAUAGCAUUAAAGUAUUUGGUAAACACUGGCCGGUAUAGCGUGAAAACUAAGUUGAUUUGAUUUUAUACUUGUAUGAUGAAAAAUUUAUUAUAUCUUUACUAAUUUUUAAAAAAUUAUUAUUUAAAAAUUAUAUUUAUUACAUAUUAUUAACUUUUACUUUAUAAUUACAAUAUUUUUUUCAUAACAAUUGUAACUCAAAAGGUACAGUACUUCAAUACCAAACAUAACCUUAGACCCUAGUUCUAAGAUAAUAGAAUGAUCAAAAGACAAUAUUUCCCUUACAAAUUGCUAUAGAGCCAGAUAGUUCAAAAGAGAUAAUUUAAAUAUUAGGGUGCGUACAAUAUUGUUUUCAAAUCUAAUUUUUUAUUUUCUAAAUUCAGAAAAUACUAGAUAAGUAUUCAAAAAUGAUACUAAAUAUAUUUUAAAAUUUAAAAAUAACAUUUUCAUUGUUAUUUUUAUUUCAAGAAAACAACAUUUGGAAAACAGGCCUUAAGCUUCACAAAAAAAAAAAAAAAAUUACUUUUUUUUGUCAAAAUUUUUUGGAAGAUAGUGACAGUCAUGGGCGGCUCCUCCUGGGCAAUUAUGAAGCCUUUCCUAGACCAUUACUUUUCCUUUAAAAUGUACCCUGAGCUCUUUCUAAAAAAAUUAAAUAAAAAGAAUUUGGGCAUAUUUUUUAUAUAACAAAAUACUUAUAAUUUAGUGAUAAUUGUGCUUUUUAGUAAUUUUAGAGACUUGGUUCAAAUUUCAAUAGCCAUAUAAUUUUAUUUCUCUAUAUAUUUCAUUCUCAAAAACUCAAAUUCUAUUUUUCCUCUUAAAUUUUAAAAAUAAUAGUAAUAUGUUGUUUAUUUUAAAUGUUGAACCUCAUUAUAAACAUUGAAAAAAAAGAAAAAUAAAUACUCCAACUUAAAUUAAAACUUUUUGAACUAAAUCCUACUUUAAAGUGUUUGGGUUUAAUCCAUAUCAGAUGCUGUAAUGGGUGACGCAAAUAAGUGGGCCUUUGCUCGUGGUGCAGGCGAAGCCGGCGCAGCCCAGGAUUUGGCUUUUUUAGUGGAGAAUUAUUAUUACUCCCACAUCUUGUUAAUUUCUAGGAUUUCUAAUAUAAAGCAGAUGAGAUGUUGCAAAGUCAUGCCAUGUGGGACAGUGGGAUCAACAGCGCCUUCAACAUUUAUAUUGUAAAUCCACGGUGGGAUCCAAAAUAUUUCCACGACCACACAUGCAAACACUUGAUUAUGACUCCAAAUCUCCAAUUUAAUUAAUUUAUUAAUCUUUUAAUUUUUUUGGUCCACUCAAAUUCAGUAAUCAUCUCAUGAGAGCGAUAUUAGUACAUUUAUAUAAUCAAAUACAUCCAGCACCACAAAGUCCAGAUUCCAAGGGCAGAUCUUAAAAUCAUAGAAAUAAUCAAAUAAAUAGUGGAUACUAGUUGACAUUCCCAAUUUGCCACUGGCCAUGUUAUUAUACUUUAUGUUAAAAACAGAUUAAAGGCAAUGGAUUUUGCCAAGUCUUUGUUGAACAAGUUCCAGCUUUACAGGUCUCAAGCCAAGGAAGCAACCAACUUGAGUAGAAGCCAAUAUUUCUUUUGGUCCCAUGAAAGACCUGGCUUCUCAAGUGCUUCCAUUAUCAUGAUAUGAUAAAAUCAUACUCCCACAUCUUGUUAAUUUGACAGCCCUUAGCCGCCAGUUUGGGCCAACUUUUAAUUGUUCGAUUGGAAAGAUUUUAAAAUAUUUGUGAAGCAUUAUGCCAGUAAUAUAAUUAAGGGAAAAUGACUAACACACCCUCAAUAUUUAGACAUAGGGACAAAAAUUUUCUAACAUUUUAAAAAAGAUAUUUACGUCCCCAUUCACUAAUAGAAACAAUUAUUUUUAACGAAAAUAGUAAUUUUAAUAGAUAAUUACCGUUAUACCCUUCUAACACAUAAAAAAAUAAUUGUUAAUUGUCCAAUUUGUCCAUAUAUUAUUAAUAAAAUUACAAAUAUACCCUCAUUGCUCAAAUAAUUGUUUAAAUUUUUAUCAAAUUCUCUCAUCAAGCCAAAUAAAUUUAAUCCAUUACUCAAGAAUAAAAAUAAAUAAAAUUAGUUAUUAAUGCCAUAAGAAUAACAAUUCUCUACAUGUCAAUCAUUUUAACUUGUAUAAUCAACAAAAUAAAAAAAAAGGCUGGUUACAACAAUAAUUACAAAAAUCUUAUCUUAAUUGUAUUAAAUAACAUAUCCAAUAGACAUAAAAAUUGAUAAUGGAUUAAAUUUAUUUGGCUUGAAGAGAGAAUUUGAUAAAAAAUUAAAUAGAGGAAUUGGCCAAUGAGGGUAUUUUUGUAAUUUUAUUAACAAUAUAUGAACAAAUCAGAUAAUUAAUAAUUAUAUUUUUAUGUGCUAGAAUAGUAUAACGGUAAUUAUAUAUUAAAAUUAUUAUUUUCGUUAAAAAUAACUGUUUUCAUUAGUGAAUAGAGGUGUAAAUUUCUUUUUCAAAACGUUAGAGAUAUUUUUAUCCCUUUAUCUAAAUGUUAGAGUUGUGUUUGUCAUUUUUCCUAUAAUUAAUAAAUAACAUUAUGACGUAUCGAUUAUUUAUCUAACUAUUCUCUUGUGUGAUUUGUAAAGUUAAUGAGGUAAAUGCUAACGUAUUCCAUUACGUUAGCAUUACGAGUUUUGAGAGGCCCGCAGAGCAAUAUAUCUACAUUGUUCGCUUAGAAACAGCAACCUCACUCAACAGAAAGUUGAGAGGAUAAUAGAAGAGAAAUGGCGGGGGCAGUGAAGAGAAUCAAGCUGGGUUCACAAGGUCUAGAGGUUUCAGCGCAAGGCUUAGGAUGCAUGGGCAUGUCCGCCUUCUACGGGCCCCCGAAGCCCGAAUCCGAUAUGAUAGCCUUGAUCCACCAUGCCAUUGACAGUGGCAUCACUUUACUUGACACUUCCGAUUCUUACGGACCUCACACAAAUGAAAUCCUUCUGGGCAAGGUAAUAUAAUUUAUCUUCUAUUUCCUUCCUUUAAUUUCAAAAGGGUAUGUUUGGAAUUGGCAAAUAAUAAUAUAUUGGCUUUGAUUAAUUUGGUUUUGGGAUUAGGCUCUGAAAGGAGGGUACAGAGGAAGAGUUGAAUUGGCUACUAAAUUUGGUAUCAGAUAUGAGGAUGGCCAGUACUCAUACUGUGGGGAUCCUGCUUAUGUAAGAGCUGCAUGUGAGGCCAGCUUGAAGCGUCUGGAUGUUGACUGUAUUGAUCUUUAUUACCAACAUCGCAUUGACACUAAAGUCCCCAUUGAAGUCACGGUUUGUCGCUUUUAAUUUAUAUAUUUGUCUCAAUCAUGCAUGUUAAACUAUAUUAGUCUGUUAGCCUCUGGGUAGCUCGGCUGCCAAUGAAUAUGAAACACAGAAUAUUUAAAAAUACAGACAUGGGUCACUUCGGUGGGUGAGGUUUCUGUUAUCAUGUACUAAUUCUUUUACUUGUGUUGUUUUUGUAAGAUUGGGGAACUCAAGAGACUAGUUGAAGAGGGUAAAAUAAAGCAUAUAGAUCUAUCGGAGGCUUUUGCUUCAACAAUUAGACGGGCUCACACCAUCCAUCCAAUAACAGUUGUGCGCUUGGAAUGGUCCUUGCGGUCGCGAGAUGUGAAGGAAGAGAUGUGAAGGAAGAGAUUGACUAUGAGUAGAUGAUUUAACAUUUGCAUGCUAACGCAAUUUUGGUGGUUGCUCUGCUCAGGGAACUUGGCAUUGGAAUUGUUGCUUACAAUCUUCUAGAAUGUGAGUUUCUUUCAUCCGGACCAAAGUUGAUACACCUCUUUGCAACCAAAGGAUGCAUCGGUUAAGUUUACAUUGUUCGCUUAGAAACAGCAACCUCACUCAACAGAAAGUUGAGAGGCUAAUAGAAGAGAAAUGGCGGGGGCAGUGAAGAGAAUCAAGCUGGGUUCACAAGGUCUAGAGGUUUCAGCGCAAGGCUUAGGAUGCGUGGGCAUGUCCGGCUUCUACGGGCCCCCGAAGCCCGAAUCCGAUAUGAUAGCCUUGAUCCACCAUGCCAUUGACAGUGGCAUCACUUUACUUGACACUUCCGAUUCUUACGGACCUCACACAAAUGAAAUCCUUCUGGGCAAGGUAAUAUAAUUUAUCUUCUAUUUCCUUCCUUUAAUUUCAAAAGGGUAUGUUUGGAAUUGGCAAAUAAUAAUAUAUUGACUUUGAUUAAUUUGGUUUUGGGAUUAGGCUCUGAAAAGAGGGUACAGAGGAAGAGUUGAAUUGGCUACUAAAUUUGGUAUCAGAUAU